Molecule: ribosomal RNA, 901 nt
Filed under: uncultured bacterium
Lineage: Bacteria
Description: bacterial SSU rRNA
Rfam family: Bacterial small subunit ribosomal RNA
Source: RNAcentral
UAUUGGGCGUAAAGCGCGCGCAGGCGGAUCAGUCAGUCUGUCUUAAAAGUUCGGGGCUUAACCCCGUGAGGGGAUGGAAACUGCUGAUCUAGAGUAUCGGAGAGGAAAGUGGAAUUCCUAGUGUAGCGGUGAAAUGCGUAGAUAUUAGGAAGAACACCAGUGGCGAAGGCGACUUUCUGGACGAAAACUGACGCUGAGGCGCGAAAGCCAGGGGAGCGAACGGGAUUAGAUACCUCGGUAGUCCUGGCCGUAAACGAUGGGUACUAGGUGUAGGAGGUAUCGACCCCUUCUGUGCCGGAGUUAACGCAAUAAGUACCCCGCCUGGGGAGUACGACCGCAAGGUUGAAACUCAAAGGAAUUGACGGGGGCCCGCACAAGCGGUGGAGUAUGUGGUUUAAUUCGACGCAACGCGAAGAACCUUACCAGGUCUUGACAUUGAUGGACAGAACCAGAGAUGGUUCCUCUUCUUCGGAAGCCAGAAAACAGGUGGUGCACGGUUGUCGUCGGCUCGUGUCGUGAGAUGUUGGGUUAAGUCCCGCAACGAGCGCAACCCCUAUCUUAUGUUGCCAGCACGUGAUGGUGGGAACUCAUGAGAGACUGCCGCAGACAAUGUGGAGGAAGGCGGGGAUGACGUCAAAUCAUCAUGCCCCUUAUGACCUGGGCUACACACGUACUACAAUGGGAGUUAAUAGACGGAAGCGAGAUCGCGAGAUGGAGCAAACCCGAGAAACACUCUCUCAGUUCGGAUCGUAGGCUGCAACUCGCCUACGUGGAGUCGGAAUCGCUAGUAAUCGCAGGUCAGCAUACUGCGGUGAAUACGUUCCCGGGCCUUGUACACACCGCCCGUCACACCACGAAAGUCGGAAGUGCCCAAAGCCGGUGGGGUAACCUUCGGGAGCCA